UGAAAGAAAAGGAUUUGGAAAAACUGGUUUUAGAAAAUGAGAAGUUGAAAGAGGAAAACAAGGUUUUCGGAAAAAGAAGUGCCGACAAGCCCGAAAGCUCUAUUAGAAAUUGUACUUCUUUCAUGCAUCUCAAAAAUGAAGUAGAAAGGCUUAAGGUCACCUUAGAUAAGUUUAAUUCUUCUCACAAAAAUUUGAAUGAGGUCCUUGUUAGUUUGAAGUCAACCAAGCAUGGCAUAGGUUUUAAGAAUGAGCCUAAAGAAAAGGUUGAAGCCAAACCCCAACCUCCUAAGGCUCAACCUAGGAUUAAUAAAACAAAUGCUCAUCCUAGAAAUAACAACCCUAGAACCAAUAUGCUUGCUAGACCAAAUAUUGAACACUUUAGAAGACCUAGAAAUGACUUUCCACCUAGAAAUAACCACUCUAGAAAUGAUGCAUAUU
RNAcentral lists this long non-coding RNA (438 nucleotides) under Nicotiana benthamiana. Its description in RNAcentral is "long non-coding RNA (NBEN_LNC003249)". The record is from RNAcentral. Lineage: Eukaryota; Viridiplantae; Streptophyta; Magnoliopsida; Solanales; Solanaceae.